CCUACGGGAGGCAGCAGUGAGGAAUAUUGGUCAAUGGGCGCGAGCCUGAACCAGCCAAGUAGCGUGAAGGAUGACUGCCCUACGGGUGGUAAACUUCUUUUAUAAAGGAAUAAAGUGAGGCACGUGUGCCUUUUUGUAUGGACUUUAUGAAUAAGGAUCGGCUAACUCCGUGCCAGCAGCCGCGGUAAUACGGAGGAUCCGAGCGUUAUCCGGAUUGAUGGGGUUUAAAGGGAGCGUAGAGGGGUUGUUAAGGCAGUGUUGAAAGUUUGCGGCUCAACCGUAAAAUUGCCAUUGUUACUGGCAGCCUUGAGUACAGUUGCGGUAGGCGGCAUUCGUUUUGUCGCCGUUAAAUGCUUCGCUAUCAC
Molecule: ribosomal RNA, 365 nt
Filed under: uncultured bacterium
Lineage: Bacteria
Description: partial 16S ribosomal RNA
Rfam family: Bacterial small subunit ribosomal RNA
Source: RNAcentral